UUUUUUAAUUGGAAACUGGAAUGAAUGAUAUAAACUAAAAGGAAUGUUUUAUUAAAAGAAUUUUGAAUUUAAAUUAAAAGUAAAAAUGCUUUUGUAAAUCUUUGGGACGAGAAGACCCUAGAAGCUUAAUAAUUGAUAAUUUUAAAUUGGGGUAAUAUUUGAAGAAAAUAAUUUUUAAUUGAUUUAUUUACAUAUUUAAGGAGAAGUUACUUUAGGGAUAACAGCGUUAUUUAAUUAACGAGUUCUUAUUAAUAAUUAAGUUUGCGACCUCGAUGUUGAAUUAAAAUUUAAUUUUUGGUGAAGAAGCUAAAAAAUUUAGUCUGUUCGACUAUUAAAUUUUUACGUGAUCUGAGU
RNAcentral lists this ribosomal RNA (354 nucleotides) under Nanophareus bosqenublado. RNAcentral describes it as "partial large subunit ribosomal RNA". The stretch from base 217 to 354 matches the Rfam family "Bacterial large subunit ribosomal RNA", at positions 2473 to 2610 of the family's 2925-position model. Lineage: Eukaryota; Metazoa; Arthropoda; Arachnida; Opiliones; Gonyleptidae. The record is from RNAcentral.